CUCAUGUGUUGCAUGGUGACGGGCCCUGGGCUAAUGUCUUGCCUGGUGAUGCGCGCAGGCCUCAUGUGGGGCCUGGUGACGCGCGCUUGGCUCAUGUGUUGCCUGGUGUCGCGCGCGGGGCUGAUGUGUUGCCUGGUGACGCGCGCGGCUCAUGUCCUGCCUGGUGACGCGCCCCAUGGGCUCAUGUGUUGCCUGGUGAUGGGCACUGGGCUAAUGUCUUGCCUGGUGACGCGCGCGGCUCAAGUGUUGCCAGGUGACGUGAGCGGGGCUCAUGUGUUGC
Pelobates cultripes (western spadefoot toad) is the source of this 280-nucleotide non-coding RNA. NCBI's taxonomy places the organism in Eukaryota, Metazoa, Chordata, Amphibia, Anura, Pelobatidae. The record is from the annotation of a GenBank genome assembly.